This 403-nucleotide ribosomal RNA is filed under the name uncultured bacterium. Its description in RNAcentral is "bacterial SSU rRNA". It matches the Rfam family "Bacterial small subunit ribosomal RNA", at positions 32 to 424 of the family's 1533-position model. The record is from RNAcentral.
AAUCAACGCUGGCGGCGCGUCUAAUACAUGCAAGUCGAGCGAGAAGACGUAGCAAUACGUUUGUAAAGCGGCGAACGGGUGAGGAAUACAUGGGUAACCUACCCUCGAGUGGGGAAUAACUAGCCGAAAGGUUAGCUAAUACCGCGUACGCUUCUUGGACUUCGGUUCAGGGAGGAAAGCGAUGCCGAGGGUAUCGCGCUCUUGGAUGGGCUCAUGUCCUAUCAGCUUGNGGUGAGGUAACGGCUCACCAAGGCUUCGACGGGUAGCUGGUCUGAGAGGACGAUCAGCCACACUGGCACUGCGACACGGGCCAGACUCCUACGGGAGCAGCAGUAAGGAAUAUUGCGCAAUGGGCGAAAGCCUGACGCAGCGACGCCGCGUGGGGGAUGAAGGUCUUCGGAUU